AGGGGUAUGAUGGCCUCAGUUCCGAAAGCCAGCCUAAAGGAGGUGUCUUCGGUUGGAACUCAUCGAGUUGCUGAGUCAAUUGUAAUCUAUACUCCCUAAUUUUUUUUGAUCUCCCCGCCUGAGAUCAAUCACCGAGGUGGUGAUGGUCGAGGAAGAGACUGUUGUAAGAGCUCCAUCCAAAUACCUACAAAAAAUCUUCACUGG
RNAcentral lists this long non-coding RNA (204 nucleotides) under Elaeis guineensis (African oil palm). RNAcentral describes it as "long non-coding RNA (EGUI_LNC037713)". The record is from RNAcentral. Lineage: Eukaryota; Viridiplantae; Streptophyta; Magnoliopsida; Arecales; Arecaceae.